This 254-nucleotide ribosomal RNA is filed under the name uncultured bacterium. Its description in RNAcentral is "partial 16S ribosomal RNA". It matches the Rfam family "Bacterial small subunit ribosomal RNA", at positions 524 to 776 of the family's 1533-position model. The record is from RNAcentral.
UACGUAGGUGGCAAGCGUUGUCCAGAUUUACUGGGCGUAAAGAGCGCGCAGGCGGUCGUUCAAGUCGCGUGUGAAAGCCCCCGGCUCAACUGGGGAGGGUCACGCGAUACUGGUCGACUCGAAGGCAGGAGAGGGUAGUGGAAUUCCCGGUGUAGUGGUGAAAUGCGUAGAUAUCGGGAGGAACACCAGUGGCGAAGGCGACUACCUGGCCUGUUUCUUGACGCUGAGGCGCGAAAGCUAGGGGAGCAAACGGG